Molecule: non-coding RNA, 26 nt
Filed under: Rattus norvegicus (Norway rat)
Lineage: Eukaryota; Metazoa; Chordata; Mammalia; Rodentia; Muridae
Source: RNAcentral
AGCCAGAACGGGGAACGUGAGCGCCU